RNAcentral lists this ribosomal RNA (689 nucleotides) under uncultured bacterium. Its description in RNAcentral is "bacterial SSU rRNA". It matches the Rfam family "Bacterial small subunit ribosomal RNA", at positions 78 to 753 of the family's 1533-position model. The record is from RNAcentral.
CUUCGGGGAUGAUUAAACCGGCGCACGGGUGAGUAACACGUGAGUGACCUGCCUUUUAGACUGGAACAACUUACCGAAAGGUGAGCUAAUGCCGGAUGAGUUAUAUAAGUGCAUGUUUAUAUAGGAAAAGUUGGGGAGACCUGACGCUGAAAGAUGGACUCGCGUCCCAUUAGCUAGUUGGUAGGGUAAUGGCCUACCAAGGCGACGAUGGGUAGCCGGCCUGAGAGGGUGGCCGGCCACACUGGGACUGAGACACGGCCCAGACUCCUACGGGAGGCAGCAGUGGGGAAUUUUGCGCAAUGCUCGUAAGAGUGACGCAGCGACGCCGCGUGAAUGACGAAGGCCUUCGGGUCGUAAAGUUCUUUCGACAGGGAAGAAAAUGCCUAUAAGUAACUGUGUAUGUAUUGACGGUACCUGUAUAAGCAGCCCCGGCUAACUCCGUGCCAGCAGCCGCGGUAAUACGGAGGGGGCGAGCGUUGUUCGGAGUGACUGGGCGUAAAGAGCACGUAGGCGGUGUUGUAAGUCAUUAGUCAAAGACUAGAGCUCAACUUUAGUAAGGCUAGUGAUACUAUAAUACUAGAGUAUCAGAGAGGAUUGCAGAAUUCCUGGUGUAGCGGUGAAAUGCGUAGAUAUCAGGAGGAAUACCGUUAGCGAAGGCGGCAAUCUGGCUGGAAACUGACGCUGAGGUG